This 253-nucleotide ribosomal RNA is filed under the name uncultured bacterium. RNAcentral's name for it is "partial 16S ribosomal RNA". It matches the Rfam family "Bacterial small subunit ribosomal RNA", at positions 524 to 776 of the family's 1533-position model. The record is from RNAcentral.
UACGUAGGGGGCAAGCGUUGUCCGGAAUCAUUGGGCGUAAAGCGCGCGUAGGCGGCCCGAUAAGUCCGCUGUGAAAGUCAACGGCUCAACUGUUGAAAGCCGGUGGAUACUGUCGGGCUAGAGUACGGAAGAGGCAAGUGGAAUUCCUGGUGUAGCGGUGGAAUGCGCAGAUAUCAGGAGGAACACCCAUAGCGAAGGCAGCUUGCUGGGACGUUACUGACGCUAAGGCGCGAAAGCGUGGGGAGCGAACAGG